UACGGGGGGGGCAAGCGUUGUUCGGAAUUACUGGGCGUAAAGGGCUCGUAGGCGGCCAACUAAGUCAGACGUGAAAUCCCUCGGCUUAACCGGGGAACUGCAUCUGAUACUGGAUGGCUUGAGUUCGGGAGAGGGAUGCGGAAUUCCAGGUGUAGCGGUGAAAUGCGUAGAUAUCCGGAGGAACACCGGUGGCGAAGGCGGCUUCCUGGACCGAUUACUGACGCUGAGGCGCGAAAGCUAGGGGAGCAAACGGG
Molecule: ribosomal RNA, 254 nt
Filed under: uncultured bacterium
Lineage: Bacteria
Description: partial 16S ribosomal RNA
Rfam family: Bacterial small subunit ribosomal RNA
Source: RNAcentral